RNAcentral lists this ribosomal RNA (492 nucleotides) under uncultured bacterium. RNAcentral describes it as "partial 16S ribosomal RNA". It matches the Rfam family "Bacterial small subunit ribosomal RNA", at positions 29 to 507 of the family's 1533-position model. The record is from RNAcentral.
AGUGAACGCUGGCGGUAGGCCUAACACAUGCAAGUCGAACGGCAGCACAGUAAGAGCUUGCUCUUACGGGUGGCGAGUGGCGGACGGGUGAGGAAUACAUCGGAAUCUACUUUUUCGUGGGGGAUAACGUAGGGAAACUUACGCUAAUACCGCAUACGACCUACGGGUGAAAGCAGGGGAUCUUCGGACCUUGCGCGAUUGUAUGAGCCGAUGUCGGAUUAGCUAGUUGGCAGGGUAAAGGCCCACCAAGGCGACGAUCCGUAGCUGAUCUGAGAGGAUGAUCAGCCACACUGGAACUGAGACACGGUCCAGACUCCUACGGGAGGCAGCAGUAGGGAAUAUUGGACAAUGGGCGCAAGCCUGAUCCAGCCAUACCGCGUGGGUGAAGAAGGCCGUCGGGUUGUAAAGCCCUUUUGUUGGGAAAGAAAAGCAGCAGGUUAACACGUCGCUGUUCUGACGGUACCCAAAGAAAAAGCACCGGCUAACUUCGUG